CCUACGGGAGGCAGCAGUGGGGAAUCUUGCGCAAUGGGGGAAACCCUGACGCAGCGACGCCGCGUGAGCGAUGAAGGCCUUAGGGUUGUAAAGCUCUGUGGAGAGAGACGAAUAAGUCGGGGUUAAUAGCUUCGAUGAUGACGGUAUCUCUUUAGCAAGCACCGGCUAACUCUGUGCCAGCAGCCGCGGUAAGACAGAGGGUGCAAACGUUGUUCGGAAUUACUGGGCGUAAAGCGCGUGUAGGCGGUCUUGUAAGUCGGCUGUGAAAGCCCGGGGCUCAACCCCGGAAGUGCACUCGAAACUGCAAGACUGGAGUCUCGGAGAGGGUCGUGGAAUUCUGGGUGUAGAGGUGAAAUUCGUAGAUAUCCAGAGGAACACCAGUGGCGAAGGCGGCGACCUGGACGAGUACUGACGCUGAGACGCGAAAGCGUGGGGAGCAAACAGGAUUAGAUACCCUGGUAGUCCACGCCUUAAACGAUGAGUGCUAGAUGUCGUGGGAUUUGACCCCUGCGGUGUCGUAGCUAACGCAUUAAGCACNCCGCCGUCGGGAGGUACGGCCGCGACGGACGUAAACCGUACGAAGAAGUUAGACGGCGUGAGACGUAGACCGACGGACGACGACGAGGGGAGGAGGG
RNAcentral lists this ribosomal RNA (635 nucleotides) under uncultured bacterium. Its description in RNAcentral is "bacterial SSU rRNA". The stretch from base 1 to 543 matches the Rfam family "Bacterial small subunit ribosomal RNA", at positions 338 to 873 of the family's 1533-position model. The record is from RNAcentral.